UACAGAGGGGGCAAGCGUUGUUCGGAAUUACUGGGCGUAAAGGGCGCGUAGGCGGCCUUCUAAGUCGAACGUGAAAUCCCCGGGCUCAACCCGGGAACUGCGUCCGAUACUGGAAGGCUUGAAUCCGGGAGAGGGAUGUGGAAUUCCAGGUGUAGCGGUGAAAUGCGUAGAUAUCUGGAGGAACACCGGUGGCGAAGGCGAAUCUCUGGACAGUUACUGACACUGAGGCACGAAGGCCAGGGGAGCGAACGGG
Molecule: ribosomal RNA, 253 nt
Filed under: uncultured prokaryote
Description: partial 16S ribosomal RNA
Rfam family: Bacterial small subunit ribosomal RNA
Source: RNAcentral